CCAACUACAAAAUCUACAAGAAUCAGAAGUUCAAAACCCAUAUAUUUUAGUUUAUCUAUCUGUCUGCAAGAAUCAAAACCUAUUACCUAUAUCAAAACCCAUAUCGGCAUAUCACUUAAGAUUGUUCAAAAAAUCAAAAUCCAUAUCUUUCAGUUCCCAUCGCCCGCUGUGUUCGCAAGCUUCAGCCGCUGGCCCGCUGUCUCUCAACUCUCAAGCUUGCCCCCCUCUCUCUCUCUCUCUGCAACUGCUAACUUGAUUAGCAUUGGGCCUUAACAAUUAGCAAGAACAAGGUUCAACAAACAUGCCUCCUCAGUCAUCAGGUUUCUUUUCUGAAAGAAGGGAGUUAAUGGGAAUGGGUGGUGUCGGCAAAUAGGGUUUUCAAUGUUGGGGGCUUUCGGAUUUAGGGGAGUGAUUUUCUGGAUUUCAGUGGUCAUUAUCACGAUCUGGUUCUCAGUACAUGGGAGCAUAUCAGCGGACUUGCACUUUUGUUAUUGUUCCUUUCUACGAAGGAAUGUGUAGAGAUAGGAUGGUUGUGGCAGAUUUUGACCCCUGCCCCACGUCAAAGAAGCGCUCCUCAUUUAACAAAAAUUUGCGGGGUCUGUCUUACUAGUCAAAGGUGAGAUCCUAAGGAACCUAAAAGAUAUCGAUCUAUAUUUUCUAAGGCGUAGACAGUAAUGGGCAAAAGAAAUUCUACGAGGGAGGAGCCUACGCACUCUUAAGAUUCGGCUGGGAAAAUUAUAGAUUGUAAGUCUGGCAUUUCCUGGUGUAACGAGCAGCGUCGAUGCUGAGGUUAUCUCCAUUAGAGAGUGGCUAAGGCAAUUGCAAAGAUGCGGAAAAUACAAAAGGUGGUUAUAAUGGGAGACUGCGAUGGGGUGGUGAGGAAGUUGAAGGGACUGGAUGUAAUUAAGCUGUUCGAAUACCAUACUUAUUGGUGAGUUAGUAUAGUUUUUAUUUAUCUUUUUACUUUAUUGGUUAUAAUACUAAUAUUUGUUUUGUAUCUAUCAGCCAAAUUUCUAUAUACCUCAAGUCGAAAUUGUAUUUCGACGCCGAACAAUGUGUAUAGAGAGUCAAACCAGAUUGCAGAUUUGCUUGCAAGAUAUGGUCUCAGAUUGGAUGAGUGGUUGAAAACAUUUGAGGAUUGGCGGCGGCAGCAGGAGGGGCUUCCAUAUGGCGAGAAUGAUUAUAAGGUGCCCAAGCCUCAGAACUGGGAGGAUGAUUUCAACUAGUUAAUAGCCAACACGUUGUCCGCUCAAAAAUUACCACGGGCCGUAGUUGUCAUAUCAGAGGACAAUUCUAUUAUCUAUACUUUUUGUCUUUGUUUUCUAUGUU
This is a long non-coding RNA of Cornus florida, 1329 nucleotides long. RefSeq lists it as uncharacterized. Lineage: Eukaryota; Viridiplantae; Streptophyta; Magnoliopsida; Cornales; Cornaceae. The record is from RefSeq and is a predicted model, not a curated record. The transcript is spliced from 5 exons.